GACGAACGCUGGCGGCGUGCUUAGCACAUGCAAGUCGAACGGAAAGGCCCUGCUUUUGUGGGGUGCUCGAGUGGCGAACGGGUGAGUAACACGUGAGUAACCUGCCCUUGACUUUGGGAUAACUUCAGGAAACUGGGGCUAAUACCGGAUAGGAGCUCCUGCUGCAUGGUGGGGGUUGGAAAGUUUCGGCGGUUGGGGAUGGACUCGCGGCUUAUCAGCUUGUUGGUGGGGUAGUGGCUUACCAAGGCUUUGACGGGUAGCCGGCCUGAGAGGGUGACCGGCCACAUUGGGACUGAGAUACGGCCCAGACUCCUACGGGAGGCAGCAGUGGGGAAUAUUGCACAAUGGGCGGAAGCCUGAUGCAGCAACGCCGCGUGCGGGAUGACGGCCUUCGGGUUGUAAACCGCUUUCGCCUGUGACGAAGCGUGAGGGACGGUAAUGGGUAAAGAAGCACCGGCUAACUACGU
RNAcentral lists this ribosomal RNA (467 nucleotides) under uncultured bacterium. Its description in RNAcentral is "partial 16S ribosomal RNA". It matches the Rfam family "Bacterial small subunit ribosomal RNA", at positions 28 to 506 of the family's 1533-position model. The record is from RNAcentral.